Molecule: ribosomal RNA, 216 nt
Filed under: uncultured archaeon
Lineage: Archaea
Description: partial 16S ribosomal RNA
Rfam family: Archaeal small subunit ribosomal RNA
Source: RNAcentral
UAGCCGCGGUAAUACCCCGCUCCCCCGAGUGGUGGGGAUAAUUAUUGGGCUUAAAGCGUCCGUAGCCGGCCUAGUAAGUCUCCUGUUAAAAUCCAGCGGCCUAAACCGUUGGACUGCGGGAGAUACUACUAGGCUAGGGGGGCGGGAGAGGCCGGCGGUAUUCCCGGGGUAGGGGUGAAAUCCUAUAAUCCCGGGAGGACCACCAGUGGCGAAGGC